UAACGGCCGCGGUACCCUGACCGUGCUAAGGUAGCAUAAUCAUUUGCCUUUUAAUUGGAGGCUUGUAUGAACGGACACACGAAAACGCAACUUUCUUAUCGAGGAAAAUAAAAAUUAACCUUCAAGUGAAGAGACUUGAGUACCAUAAAAAGACGAAAAGACCCUAUGGAGCUUUACUUAAGUUAUUAAACCACAAAUAAAAAAAGCUUUUUUUACUAAAAAAGUUUAGUUGGGGCGACUAAGGAGCACACACCACCCUCCUACUGACAAAAGACUCUAAAUCUACAAAAGAUCCACAAACGUGAAUAAAAAUCCAGCUACCCUAGGGAUAACAGGCUAAUCCUCCUUAAGAGCUCAAAUUGACAGGAGGGCUUGGCACCUCGAUGUUGGCUUAAGAUCUCUACUAAGUGCAGCAGCUUAGGUAGUAGGUUUGUUCAACCUUUAAAAUCUUACGUGAUCUGAGUUCAGACCGG
RNAcentral lists this ribosomal RNA (473 nucleotides) under Aurospio dibranchiata. Its description in RNAcentral is "partial 16S ribosomal RNA". It matches the Rfam family "Bacterial large subunit ribosomal RNA", at positions 1925 to 2619 of the family's 2925-position model. Lineage: Eukaryota; Metazoa; Annelida; Polychaeta; Spionida; Spionidae. The record is from RNAcentral.